GGUCCAAAGGUAGUGAGUUAUCUCACUUGAUUGUUCGCAGUCAGUUAUGGAUUGAACUCCUUGUUCCACUACUUUUCCCCCCUUCUCACUACUGCACUUGAUGAGUCUAAA
RNAcentral lists this Y RNA (111 nucleotides) under Microcebus murinus (gray mouse lemur). Its description in RNAcentral is "Y RNA (ENSMICG00000043255.1)". It matches the Rfam family "Y RNA". From Rfam's summary of the family: Y RNAs are components of the Ro ribonucleoprotein particle (Ro RNP), in association with Ro60 and La proteins. The Y RNAs and Ro60 and La proteins are well conserved, but the function of the Ro RNP is not known. The record is from Rfam by way of RNAcentral. Lineage: Eukaryota; Metazoa; Chordata; Mammalia; Primates; Cheirogaleidae.